AAACAAGAAGCAAAUUAGCAAUCAGUUUCGACCUGAUAAAUAGGUGUAAAUAAUCACCCUUGUUUU
RNAcentral lists this transfer RNA (66 nucleotides) under Rhinotermes hispidus. RNAcentral's name for it is "tRNA-Arg". Lineage: Eukaryota; Metazoa; Arthropoda; Insecta; Blattodea; Rhinotermitidae. The record is from RNAcentral.